Molecule: ribosomal RNA, 1283 nt
Filed under: Afrochthonius godfreyi
Lineage: Eukaryota; Metazoa; Arthropoda; Arachnida; Pseudoscorpiones; Pseudotyrannochthoniidae
Description: SSU rRNA
Rfam family: Eukaryotic small subunit ribosomal RNA
Source: RNAcentral
GGCAGCAGGCGCGCAAAUUACCCACUCCCGGCACGGGGAGGUAGUGACGAAAAAUAACAAUACGGAACUCUUUCGAGGCUCCGUAAUUGGAAUGAGUACAAUAUAAACCUUUUAACGAGGAUCCAUUGGAGGGCAAGUCUGGUGCCAGCAGCCGCGGUAAUUCCAGCUCCAAUAGCGUAUAUUAAAGUUGUUGCGGUUAAAAAGCUCGUAGUUGGAUCUUAAUUCAAUUUAUAUUGAUCUUUCGUAAGAGAGUUAUCGAUAUUGUUGAAUAUGAUGUCGGUCUUUAAGUUGGCCUUAAUUGCGCUGAUUUAGUAGUCCGACAAUUUUACUUUGAAAAAAUUAGAGUGCUCAAAGCAGGCAAUUUAGCCUGAAUAAUGGUGCAUGGAAUAAUGGAAUAGGACCUCGGUUCUAUUUUGUUGGUUUUUAAGAACCCGAGGUAAUGAUUAAGAGGGACAGCCGGGGGCAUUCGUACUGCUACGCUAGAGGUGAAAUUCUUGGACCGUAGCAAGACGAACUAGUGCGAAAGCAUUUGCCAAGAAUGUUUUCAUUAAUCAAGAACGAAAGUUAGAGGUUCGAAGGCGAUCAGAUACCGCCCUAGUUCUAACCAUAAACGAUGCCAACCAGCAAUUCGUCGUAGCUCUUUAAAAGGCUAGACGAGCGGCUUCCGGGAAACCAAAGUUUUUGGGUUCCGGGGGAAGUAUGGUUGCAAAGCUGAAACUUAAAGGAAUUGACGGAAGGGCACCACCAGGAGUGGAGCCUGCGGCUUAAUUUGACUCAACACGGGGAAACUUACCCGGCCCGGACACCGGAAGGAUUGACAGAUUAAGAGCUCUUUCUUGAUUCGGUGGGUGGUGGUGCAUGGCCGUUCUUAGUUGGUGGAGUGAUUUGUCUGGUUAAUUCCGAUAACGAACGAGACUCUAGCCUACUAAAUAGGCUUAUUUACUUUAUAUUAAAUAAGUUCUUCUUAGAGGGACAGGCGGCUUUUAGCCGCACGAAACAGAACAAUAACAGGUCUGUGAUGCCCUUAAAUGUCCGGGGCCGCACGCGCGCUACACUGAGAGGGUCAGCGUGCUUUACCCUUGCCUGACAAGGCUAGGUAACCCGUUGAACUCCUCUCGUGAUUGGGAUAGGAGCUUGUAACUAUUCUCCUUGAACGAGGAAUUCCCAGUAAUCGCGAGUCAUCAGCUCGCGUUGAUUACGUCCCUGCCCUUUGUACACACCGCCCGUCGCUACUACCGAUUGAAUGAUUUAGUGAGGUCUUCGGACGACGUUGAAUGAGAUGC